RNAcentral lists this long non-coding RNA (856 nucleotides) under Populus tremula. RNAcentral's name for it is "long non-coding RNA (PTRE_LNC000340)". The record is from RNAcentral. Lineage: Eukaryota; Viridiplantae; Streptophyta; Magnoliopsida; Malpighiales; Salicaceae.
AAAUAUUAUAUUAUUCAAAUACUGAUAAAACCGAAAGAUAGUUAUUAAAACAAAAAUAAUAAUUCAUAAUACUCAUUACAUUGUCAAAAUCCAAACGUAAUUAAAACAAGGUAACAGUGGAGCGUCUAAGACAUCAAAUCAAAACUGUAAGGAAAGCCUCGCGAACAAGCAAGGCAUACCGACCAGAACUGAAGAAGCAGAAACACUCAACAAAGUCCAACUGCUAUCAGAAACUAAGAAUAAGAACCUGAAAUAAUAUUAAAAAUGAGAGUGAGUUCAACCAACUCAGUGAAGGAAUAACAUUUAAUAUACAUUUCAUAUAUUUCAGAUAUUAUUUGCAAGAUGAUUUAUCUUGAUAUACAUAUACAUAUACAUAUACAUAUACUUACUAAACAUAUUAUCAUAACGUAGCAUAUUAUCAUAACGUAGUGGAUUACAUGUCAGAGAUCAGAUGACACCCGAAGGUGACCACUGUGGGAUGAUCAAUCACCACAGGCUGAUGCCUCUCUCACCAGCUAGGUAACAGAAUACUAUGUGCACACAGGCUAACUAUUCUCCGUUAGCAUGGAGUACUGACAAGUCCCAUAUCAAGGCAUAACAGAUAUUCACAUAAUCAUCAAAGAAGCGUAUAUCAUAUCAAAUAGAAUUUACUUUAUCAGAUUGCAAGUGCAAAUUCAAGAAUAAAUGAGUAUUCGGAAAAUAAAGCAACAUAUAUAAAUAUUCAAGAAAUUUACUAGUUGUACUCAUUGUAUAAUCAACAUACAUAUUUAUUUAUAUUAUAUGCAUAUUAAAGAUUAUUCCACUCACCCGGAAAAUACUGAACUAAAGGAAUGUCAGACAAAAGACCCGAAAAUCC